RNAcentral lists this long non-coding RNA (516 nucleotides) under Rattus norvegicus (Norway rat). RNAcentral's name for it is "long non-coding RNA NONRATT021511". Lineage: Eukaryota; Metazoa; Chordata; Mammalia; Rodentia; Muridae. The record is from RNAcentral.
GAGGUUCAGUCCAUUAUCAUCAUGGUAUACAACAUGCCAUCAUCCAAGCAGGUAUGGAACUGGAACGGCUAAGAGUUCUACAUCUUUUUCCACACUUGAUCUUAGCCAAAAGGCCGAGAAGCGAUCUACAUCUUUUUCCAAAGGCAAACAGGAGAAGACUAGCUUCAAGGCAGCUAGGAGGAGGGUAUUAAAGCCCACCACUACAAUGACAAACUUUCUCCAACAAGGCCACAUCUACUCAACAAUGCCACACCUCCUAAUAGUGCCACUCCCUUGGGUCAACUAUAUUCAAACUACCACAGUGUGGUUCCAUUUAUAUUCUUUCCAAACAUAACACUCCCUCUCGAGUGUCAGCUCGAGCAAAACACCACAUGCCUUUUCACAUGUCUGCUUUAGUAAAAUAUUCUCUCACCUGUCUGCUUCAGCAACCCAUUCUCUCACAUGUCUAUCUCAGCAGAACAUCUCUCACGAGACAGUUUCCAGAAAAACGUCACAUUACACAAUUGAGUUUCCAAA